CCCGCGCAUCGCUCCGCCGUUCUUUCCGCCGCAAGGCGGGGAGGGAGGAAAGUCCGGGCAGCAUAGGGCACCGUGCUUCCUAACGGGAAGGGGUACCACUGGUGACGGUGGUGCCAUGGAAAGUGCCACAGAAAGGGAAACCGCCGACCCGUCGCAAGACGGAGGUAAGGAUGAAAAGGUGGGGUAAGAGCCCACCAGUGCCUCGUGUGAGCGGGGCAGCUUGGUAAACCCCACGGGCUGAAAGACCAAAUAAGCCGGGGCUCCCGUCCUCGGACGGGAUAAGGGCGGCCCGCUUGAUCCCGGCGGGUAGGUCGAUAGAGGUCCCGCGUGAGCGGGAUCCCAGAUAGAUGGCGGAGCCUUCACUGCCGCAAGGCAGCGGAGGACAGGAUCCGGCUUACAGGUGCGCGGGUAUU
RNAcentral lists this RNase P RNA (413 nucleotides) under Flavobacteriales bacterium. Its description in RNAcentral is "RNase P RNA component class A". It matches the Rfam family "Bacterial RNase P class A". From Rfam's summary of the family: Ribonuclease P (RNase P) is a ubiquitous endoribonuclease, found in archaea, bacteria and eukarya as well as chloroplasts and mitochondria. Its best characterised activity is the generation of mature 5'-ends of tRNAs by cleaving the 5'-leader elements of precursor-tRNAs. Lineage: Bacteria; Pseudomonadati; Bacteroidota; Flavobacteriia; Flavobacteriales. The record is from RNAcentral.